UGCCUUGUUCUAUAUGAAUGUGGGCCUGGCUGUUCCUGGAGUUCGAGAAGGCGAAUAUGGCCAUAUGGACCUACAAGGUAUGCUUCCAUUAUGUCAAACUCAUUGCUGUGGUGGCAAUGAGACCUGAAAUGUGA
Small nucleolar RNA from Sorex araneus (European shrew), 134 nucleotides. RefSeq annotates it as small nucleolar RNA SNORA1. The transcript has a single exon. The record is from RefSeq and is a predicted model, not a curated record. NCBI's taxonomy places the organism in Eukaryota, Metazoa, Chordata, Mammalia, Eulipotyphla, Soricidae.